CAGCAGCCGUUGGAUGUGUGCACACCGCGCACGUCCCAUUCGCACGCACACACAUCCCAUCUGCAUGCACGCACGCACGGGACGUGCACUCUGCGCGUACAAAGCGGGUAUAGGCCUCCAAGUGUCUUGUUUCGCGCAGGCAGGCUGUCUGUGCAUCACCUUGCAUGCGGACAAGUGGCACACACUGUGAGCGUGCCGUUUGCACAGCAGGCCUAUGCAAAUAGGCCCUACACGCCUGAGGCCUGCAUGCGGGGUAUAACACCUCGU
RNAcentral lists this long non-coding RNA (267 nucleotides) under Carica papaya (papaya). RNAcentral describes it as "long non-coding RNA (CPAP_LNC000088)". Lineage: Eukaryota; Viridiplantae; Streptophyta; Magnoliopsida; Brassicales; Caricaceae. The record is from RNAcentral.